UACGUAGGGGGCGAGCGUUGUCCGGAUUUACUGGGCGUAAAGAGCGCGCAGGCGGUCGUUCAAGUCGCGUGUGAAAGCCCCCGGCUCAACUGGGGAGGGUCACGCGAUACUGAUCGACUCGAAGGCAGGAGAGGGAAGUGGAAUUCCCGGUGUAGCGGUGAAAUGCGCAGAUAUCGGGAGGAACACCGGUGGCGAAGGCGGUUCUCUGGGCCUUACCUGACGCUGAGGAGCGAAAGCGUGGGGAGCGAACAGG
This 253-nucleotide ribosomal RNA is filed under the name uncultured bacterium. RNAcentral describes it as "partial 16S ribosomal RNA". It matches the Rfam family "Bacterial small subunit ribosomal RNA", at positions 524 to 776 of the family's 1533-position model. The record is from RNAcentral.